Molecule: ribosomal RNA, 253 nt
Filed under: uncultured Eubacteriales bacterium
Lineage: Bacteria; Bacillati; Bacillota; Clostridia; Eubacteriales
Description: uncultured Clostridiales bacterium partial 16S ribosomal RNA
Rfam family: Bacterial small subunit ribosomal RNA
Source: RNAcentral
UACGUAGGGAACAAGCGUUAUCCGGAAUUAUUGGGUGUAAAGGGUGCGUAGACGGGAAUACAAGUUGGUUGUGAAAUCCCUCGGCUUAACUGAGGAACUGCAACCAAAACUAUAUUUCUUGAGUGCAGGAGAGGAAAGCGGAAUUCCUAGUGUAGCGGUGAAAUGCGUAGAGAUUAGGAGGAACACCAGUGGCGAAGGCGGCUUUCUGGACUGUAACUGACGUUGAGGCACGAAAGUGUGGGGAGCAAACAGG